GACAGAGGGUGCAAACGUUGCUCGGAAUCACUGGGCAUAAAGCGCACGUAGGCCGUUCACUAAGUUCGAUGUGAAAUCCCUGGGCUCAACCCAGGAACUGCGUCCGAUACUGGUUGGCUUGAGACCGGGAGAGGUGAGUGGAACUCCGAGUGUAGAGGUGAAAUUCGUAGAUAUUCGGAAGAACACCAGUGGCGAAGGCGGCUCACUGGACUGGUAUUGACGCUGAGGUGCGAAAGCGUGGGGAGCAAACAGG
RNAcentral lists this ribosomal RNA (253 nucleotides) under uncultured bacterium. RNAcentral's name for it is "partial 16S ribosomal RNA". It matches the Rfam family "Bacterial small subunit ribosomal RNA", at positions 524 to 776 of the family's 1533-position model. The record is from RNAcentral.